Molecule: ribosomal RNA, 460 nt
Filed under: uncultured bacterium
Lineage: Bacteria
Description: partial 16S ribosomal RNA
Rfam family: Bacterial small subunit ribosomal RNA
Source: RNAcentral
CCUACGGGAGGCAGCAGUGAGGAAUAUUGGUCAAUGGGCUUACGCCUGAACCAGCCAAGUCGCGUGAGGGAAGACUGCCCUAUGGGUUGUAAACCUCUUUUGUCAGGGAGCAAUUGGCGCUACGUGUAGCGUUCUCGAGAGUACCUGAAGAAAAAGCAUCGGCAAACUCCGUGCCAGCCGCGGCGGUAUUACGGAGGAUGCGAGGGUUAUCCGGAUUUAUGGGGUUUAAGGGGUGCGGAGGCGGAAUGCCAAGUCAGCGGUAAAACCGCGGGGUUAAACCUCGCUUCGCCGUUGAAACUGGCGUUCUAGAGUGGGCGAGAAGUAUGCGGAAUGCGUGGUGUAGCGGUGAAAUGCAUAGAGAUCACGCAGAACUCCGAUUGCGAAGGCAGCAUACCGGCGCCCAACUGACGCUGAAGCACGAAAGCGUGGGUAUCGAACAGGAUUAGAUACCCUAGUAGUC